RNAcentral lists this ribosomal RNA (468 nucleotides) under uncultured bacterium. Its description in RNAcentral is "partial 16S ribosomal RNA". It matches the Rfam family "Bacterial small subunit ribosomal RNA", at positions 28 to 507 of the family's 1533-position model. The record is from RNAcentral.
GACGAACGCUGGCGGCGUGCUUAACACAUGCAAGUCGAACGGAAAGGCCCUGCUUUUGUGGGGUGCUCGAGUGGCGAACGGGUGAGUAACACGUGAGUAACCUGCCCGUGACUUUGGGAUAACUUCAGGAAACUGGGGCUAAUACCGGAUAGGAGCUCCUGCUGCAUGGUGGGGGUUGGAAAGUUUCGGCGGUUGGGGAUGGACUCGCGGCUUAUCAGCUUGUUGGUGGGGUAGUGGCUUACCAAGGCUUUGACGGGUAGCCGGCCUGAGAGGGUGACCGGCCACAUUGGGACUGAGAUACGGCCCAGACUCCUACGGGAGGCAGAAGUGGGGAAUAUUGCACAAUGGGCGGAAGCCUGAUGCAGCAACGCCGCGUGCGGGAUGACGGCCUUCGGGUUGUAAACCGCUUUCGCCUGUGACGAAGCGUGAGUGACGGUAAUGGGUAAAGAAGCACCGGCUAACUACGUG